This 253-nucleotide ribosomal RNA is filed under the name uncultured bacterium. Its description in RNAcentral is "partial 16S ribosomal RNA". It matches the Rfam family "Bacterial small subunit ribosomal RNA", at positions 524 to 776 of the family's 1533-position model. The record is from RNAcentral.
GACAGAGGGGGCAAGCGUUGCUCGGAAUUACUGGGCGUAAAGCGUGCGCAGGCGGCUUUGCAAGACAGAUGUGAAAUCCUCGGGCUUAACCUGGGAACUGCAUUUGUGACUGCAUGGCUGGAGUGCGGCAGAGGGGGAUGGAAUUCCGCGUGUAGCAGUGAAAUGCGUAGAUAUGCGGAGGAACACCGAUGGCGAAGGCAAUCCCCUGGGCCUGCACUGACGCUCAUGCACGAAAGCGUGGGGAGCAAACAGG